This 358-nucleotide unclassified non-coding RNA is filed under the name soil metagenome. RNAcentral's name for it is "partial contains 5.8S ribosomal RNA, internal transcribed spacer 2, and large subunit ribosomal RNA". The stretch from base 1 to 120 matches the Rfam family "5.8S ribosomal RNA", at positions 35 to 154 of the family's 154-position model. The record is from RNAcentral.
GAUGAAGAACGUAGCGAAAUGCGAUAAGUAAUGUGAAUUGCAGAAUUCAGUGAAUCAUCGAAUCUUUGAACGCACAUUGCGCCCGUCAGUAUUCUGGCGGGCAUGCCUGUUCGAGCGUCAUUACGCCCCUCAAGUCCCCUGUGGACUUGGUGUUGGGGAUCGGCGAGGCUGGUUUUCCAGCACAGCCGUCCCUUAAAUUAAUUGGCGGUCUCGCAGUGGCCCUCCUCUGCGCAGUAGUAAAACACUCGCAACAGGAGCCCGGCGCGGUCCACUGCCGUAAAACCCCCCAACUUUUUAUAGUUGACCUCGAAUCAGGUAGGACUACCCGCUGAACUUAAGCAUAUCAAUAAGCGGAGGA